GACGAACGCUGGCGGCGUGCUUAACACAUGCAAGUCGAACGGAAAGGCCCUGCUUUUGUGGGGUGCUCGAGUGGCGAACGGGUGAGUAACACGUGAGUAACCUGCCCUUGACUUUGGGAUAACUUCAGGAAACUGGGGCUAAUACCGGAUAGGAGCUCCUGCUGCAUGGUGGGGGUUGGAAAGUUUCGGCGGUUGGGGAUGGACUCGCGGCUUAUCAGCUUGUUGGUGGGGUAGUGGCUUACCAAGGCUUUGACGGGUAGCCGGCCUGAGAGGGUGACCGGCCACAUUGGGACUGAGAUACGGCCCAGAGUCCUACGGGGGGCAGCAGUGGGGAAUAUUGCACAAUGGGCGGAAGCCUGAUGCAGCAACGCCGCGUGCGGGAUGACGGCCUUAGGGGUGUAAACCGCUUUCGCCUGUGACGAAGCGUGAGUGACGGUAAUGGGUAAAGAAGCACCGGCUAACUACGUG
This 468-nucleotide ribosomal RNA is filed under the name uncultured bacterium. Its description in RNAcentral is "partial 16S ribosomal RNA". It matches the Rfam family "Bacterial small subunit ribosomal RNA", at positions 28 to 507 of the family's 1533-position model. The record is from RNAcentral.